GCCUACGGCCACACCAGACUGAACACACCCAAUCCUGUCCGAACUCGGAAGCUAAGCAGUCCCAGGCCUGGCUAGUACCUUGAUGUGAAACCACCUGGGAAUCCUGGGUGCUGUAGCCU
This 119-nucleotide ribosomal RNA is filed under the name Sphenodon punctatus (tuatara). The record is from RNAcentral. Lineage: Eukaryota; Metazoa; Chordata; Lepidosauria; Sphenodontia; Sphenodontidae.